RNAcentral lists this microRNA (23 nucleotides) under Vriesea carinata. RNAcentral's name for it is "vca-miR10206a-3p". Lineage: Eukaryota; Viridiplantae; Streptophyta; Magnoliopsida; Poales; Bromeliaceae. The record is from miRBase by way of RNAcentral.
AUUCAAUGAAUCUAUCUGUCAAU